UCUUCAAGACAGUGUGCCUUCUACUCCUAAACAUCGAUUUAUCGAGGUUUGCCCGGACCGGACUUGAAAUGACUAAGAUGCAAGACGCUGCUGAGGUAUUCUCGUGGCUGUCUACGGUUUUCUUUGUGUGUGUUCUGCUGCUUGUGUCAAAGGGGUUCUCUAUCACCAGAGCUCAGAUAAGCCUUCCUGGAA
Molecule: long non-coding RNA, 192 nt
Organism: Lytechinus pictus (painted urchin)
Lineage: Eukaryota; Metazoa; Echinodermata; Echinoidea; Temnopleuroida; Toxopneustidae
Exons: 3
Source: RefSeq, a predicted model, not a curated record